CCGUCUCCGCCGUCCAUCUCUCUCCGAUCACGAUCAAUUCCAGAUCUCUCAACUCAACAAUUUGUCAACUACUAGCUCCAGUUUCGCACUAUUAUAACUCCAAUUGAGCUGUCAUCUCCAAUAUUAUAACUAUAACAAUACUUAACUUAUAUCUAUAAAUAAGAGAGAGAGAGAGAUGUACGAGAGAGAUUUAUUACUUACGAGAGAGAGAGGGAGAGAGAUAUACGAGAGAGAUUUAUUACUU
RNAcentral lists this long non-coding RNA (244 nucleotides) under Daucus carota (carrot). RNAcentral describes it as "long non-coding RNA (DCAR_LNC001671)". The record is from RNAcentral. Lineage: Eukaryota; Viridiplantae; Streptophyta; Magnoliopsida; Apiales; Apiaceae.